GUGAGAAUGUGAGCUCCUGGGAGGCCAGGAUUAUUUUCACCUUCUUUGUCUCGUCAGUGCUUAGCAGGGGGCUAGACCAAAAAAGUCAUCCCAUAUAACAGAGAACUUCUUAAAAAGAAAAUGAAAAAGAAUAGAAAAAAAAAUCCGUAAACCCAAUGGAAACAUCAAAAAUUCUGCAACUACAUGCAAUGUGCCACAACCAUAGACCUUCUGCCUCUGCAGAGGAGUAGGAGUAAGUUCUGCAUCAGCUCAUGUAAGCCUAGGCCAAAUUCCUUUGAAUGAUCAUAGGUCUCACUUAGGAGGCUCAGCAGUGUUCUGUGGUUUCAUGCAAAUAGCACAGUUACAUGAAAACAAAAGCAUCUGGAGGACCUCCAUCCAUAGGGAAUUCUUCUUCCAUUUGAAUCUUCUCCAUGACAGUGGCAAACAACUUCGGUGAUUGUGCAUCUCUCCAUUUCACGCUUUGCUUGAUAUUAACUCUCAGAGGAUCCUCAAACAAAGAAGGCUGUGUUGCUACUUCUUUCAAGUAUCUUGUAUAGUUUUAAUUUAAGUAUCAUAUGCUUGGGUAGACAUCCCCCCUAACUCAGCAAUGGGGUUGAAGCCUGCCAACUUGGUUUAACCCUUCUGCCGAGAUAGUUUUACCGGGGUGUAGCCACUGCUUAUGUUACAGCUUUUUGGAGCCACGGGUAAGAGUGGGAUGAAGGUAGACACCAAAGGUGGAUGAG
Vombatus ursinus (common wombat) is the source of this 722-nucleotide long non-coding RNA. RefSeq lists it as uncharacterized. The transcript has 3 exons. NCBI's taxonomy places the organism in Eukaryota, Metazoa, Chordata, Mammalia, Diprotodontia, Vombatidae. The record is from RefSeq and is a predicted model, not a curated record.